GAUGAACGCUGGCGGCGUGCCUAAUACAUGCAAGUCGAGCGAACAGACGAGGAGCUUGCUCCUCUGACGUUAGCGGCGGACGGGUGAGUAACACGUGGAUAACCUACCUAUAAGUCUGGGAUAACUUCGUGAAACCGGAGCUAAUACCGGAUAAUAUAUUGAACCGCAUGGUUCAAUAGUGAAAGACGGUUUUGCUGUCACUUAUAGAUGGAUCCGCGCCGCAUUAGCUAGUUGGUAAGGUAACGGCUUACCAAGGCAACGAUGCGUAGCCGACCUGAGAGGGUGAUCGGCCACACUGGAACUGAGACACGGUCCAGACUACUACGGGAGGCAGCAGUAGGGAAUCUUCCGCAAUGGGCGAAAGCAUGACGGAGCAAAGCCGCGUGAGUGAUGAAGGUCUUAGGAUCGUAAAACUCUGUUAUUAGGGAAGAACAAAUGUGUAAGUAACUAUGCACGUCUUGACGGUACCUAAUCAGAAAGCCACGGCUAACCACGUG
Molecule: ribosomal RNA, 497 nt
Filed under: uncultured bacterium
Lineage: Bacteria
Description: partial 16S ribosomal RNA
Rfam family: Bacterial small subunit ribosomal RNA
Source: RNAcentral